Molecule: RNA transcript, 1493 nt
Organism: Glycine soja
Lineage: Eukaryota; Viridiplantae; Streptophyta; Magnoliopsida; Fabales; Fabaceae
Gene name: NADPH-dependent aldo-keto reductase, chloroplastic-like
Exons: 7
Source: RefSeq, a predicted model, not a curated record
AAACUAGAACCGUUUUUAUUUUCAUUAACGAGUAUGAUUCUCCGAUUGCACAAAGAGAUAAAAGCACUGACCAUAGAAAACCAAACCCAGCAAACAGCACCGUCUCUUUCCAUUUCAAGCCUCCACCGUCGUCCACUGCUUCAUCUUCAGUUUUUCUGCCUAAAAAUACAUAAAUUGCACCAAACUAAAAAACUGAACUCAUAACAUUCAUCUUCAGUUUUUCUGCUUCAUUUCUAACUAAUUAUUGUGAUUAUUAUUAUUAUUGAGAAGAAAAAAAAAUGGCAAAGUUAAUAAAAUUCUUUGAGUUGAACACAGGGGCCAAGAUUCCUUCUGUUGGGUUAGGCACUUGGCAAGCUGAACCUGGUGUUGUAGCCAAAGCUGUCACCAUAGCCAUUCAGGUUGGAUACAGGCAUAUUGACUGUGCUCAAGCGUAUAACAAUCAAGCAGAGAUUGGUUCUGCUCUAAAGAAGCUUUUUGAUGAAGGUGUGGUGAAGCGUGAGGACUUAUGAAUCACUUCCAAACUCUGGUGUUCAGAUCAUGUUCCAGAAGAUGUGCCCAAAGCAUUGGAUAAAACAUUGCAGGAUUUGAAACUUGACUACCUUGAUCUCUAUCUGAUCCACUGGCCAGUCCGCAUGAAAAGUGGAUCAGUUGGAUUCAAGAAAGAAUAUCUUGAUCAACCGGAUAUUCCCAGCACAUGGAAAGCAAUGGAAGCACUCUAUGACUCAGGCAAGGCAAGAGCCAUAGGAGUUAGCAAUUUCUCUUCAAAGAAGCUUCAAGAUUUGUUGGAUAUAGCAAGAGUGCCUCCUGCUGUUAACCAAGUGGAAUUGCACCCAGGAUGGCAGCAGCAAAAGUUGCAUGCAUUCUGUGAAUCUAAAGGAAUUCAUCUAACUGGAUAUUCUCCACUAGGCUCCCCAGGAGUUCUCAAAAGUGACAUUCUUAAGAAUCCUGUUGUGAUAGAGAUUGCAGAGAAAUUGGGUAAGACACCAGCACAAGUUGCCCUUAGGUGGGGAUUGCAAACAGGCCAUAGUGUGCUGCCUAAGAGCACUAAUGAGUCCAGAAUCAAGGGAAACUUUGAUGUCUUUGACUGGUCUAUUCCAGAAGAAUUGUUAGCAAAAUUCUCUGAAAUUAAGCAGGAUAGACUAAUUAAGGGUACUGCUUUUGUUGACGAGACCUGUGGUGCCUUUAAGACCAUUGAAGAGCUUUGGGAUGGUGAACUCUGAGCUAUAUGCUUCAUAGAGAUGUUGACAAAUUCACUGGUCCUCAAGCAGAUUAGUUCUGCCUUUUACCUGUUAGCAUCUUAAAGCCACCAGAUAUAGUGAUUCAAGUAUGUUUGAGAUUUUGAGAAGUGUUACCGUUGAUAAUCAGGUAACCAAGACUUAUUUUUCAUUUAUAACUAGCAUGUGUACGCACUUAUCGUUCGACUGGGUGCGUGUGCAUUCGGUAAUGUAUUAACAGUAUGCAAUUUAAUAAAAGAAAUAUUUUAUAUCACAGAA